GCUGUCACCAAGGGUCUCCCGUGGGCACCUGGCUCUCGAGCAGCGUUCUUGGGGAUCAUCUGCCGGCUCACUCUCCGCGACCAGCGUCACUCGCAGAAAAAAACAAACAGGACAGACAGAUGGCCAUCGCCUGGCUCCCCGUGCGCAGGUGGGACACGGGACGGUGGAGGGGCUCCAUGCACACGGGAGGGACGAGCGGGGGGGCCUCCGGCCCGAGAGCCAGGCGAGGGCAGAAGUGCGGCUCUCGGGGUUCCCACCGGACACAGCAGGAGCCGUGGGGGCACGGCGGCAGGAUGAGGGGCACGGCUUCCCGGCUCGAGGUGGGCAAGGCCCGCGCACACACACGUCAUCCUGGGGGCCGUCCCGGGCGGGCCCGCCGAGGACUGUGGGACUGGGUGGGGGCGCACUGGGGAGAAAGGUUCUAGAGGCGGUCAUCUUCAGGGGACGGUGAGGACGUCCUCGUUCCAGCAUCACUAGGUGACGGCACCGAGCAGCUGGGCCUCCACUGUCACCGGGGACACUGCAGGCGAGGCCGCGGCCAGGAGGCUGCUCUCGGCCGAGAAGAAGGCGCCCUCCAGGCCGGCCUCACUGGAUCCCAAUGGCCUGCAGCACCCUCCGCUCGCUGUCGCUGAGGUGGCCCGAGAACACGGCGUAGCAGGGCUGCUGCGCGAACUGGCAGAGGAAGUCCGUGAGGAACACACAGUGGCGCUGACACUCUGGAGGUGUUCCCCUCCCCGGGAGCCUGCCACGGCCUCCGCUCCAGGGCAAGAGCGGUGGGAAGAUGUGGUCCUCAGCUGCAGCCGCCUGACCCGGAGACAAGUGUCCCCGCCCCACGAGAGACGCACGCAGCGCACGGAGGUCCUUAGAGGCCCUGACACACUGCUGUCCGUGGACAGCAAGGACUUGGAAGUAUAUUCUACGCACCUUGGACAACUGUCUACAUUCUUUCAUUGCUGUAAGUAUCCUCCUCUGAGGCCCUGGCCGGUUAGUGUUGGCCCUUAGACCAAGGGUCGUGGGUUUGAUUCCUG
Molecule: long non-coding RNA, 1028 nt
Organism: Molossus molossus (Pallas's mastiff bat)
Lineage: Eukaryota; Metazoa; Chordata; Mammalia; Chiroptera; Molossidae
Exons: 4
Source: RefSeq, a predicted model, not a curated record